CGACUCGAGCGGCGAACGGGAGAGUAAUACCUGGACAACCUACCUCGGUGUCGGGGAUAGCCACUGGAAACGGUGGGUAAUACCCGAUAGUCCGUGUCGGUCGAUGACUGAUCCGGUAAAGGUGCUUCCGCACCGGGACGGGUCCAGGCCCCAUUAGCUUGUUGGUGAGGUAACGGCUCACCAAGGCGACGAUGGGUAGCGGGCCUGAGAGGGUGAUCCGCCUCACUGGGACUGAGACACUGCCCAG
RNAcentral lists this ribosomal RNA (247 nucleotides) under uncultured bacterium. RNAcentral's name for it is "partial 16S ribosomal RNA". It matches the Rfam family "Bacterial small subunit ribosomal RNA", at positions 87 to 334 of the family's 1533-position model. The record is from RNAcentral.